Molecule: long non-coding RNA, 412 nt
Organism: Cucumis sativus (cucumber)
Lineage: Eukaryota; Viridiplantae; Streptophyta; Magnoliopsida; Cucurbitales; Cucurbitaceae
Exons: 2
Source: RefSeq, a predicted model, not a curated record
AAUCUUUUCUUUCUCUUCAGCAGGUUGGUAAUGUAGAAAGGAUACAUGUAUACUAUGCCCACGGACUAGAUAGCCCAACCUUUGUUCGCCGGUGUUAUUGGCUCCUAGAUAAGACCUUUGAACACAUUGUCCUUGUUCAUUACCGUGAAACACAAGAGGUUAGGUUCAGCACAAUGCAUCUGCAGUUACUGAAAUAUUAUCUUGAGACAAACUUUUAUCAUUUGGACUACUACAUCUAUUUAAGAUUUGCUGAUUUUUCCUCCAUGGUUGCAAUAUUAGAACUUCAUCCAAAAUAAUGUUGUCAUGUGUGUCUUUAUGGUGAUUCAUGUGUUGAGAGUUCUCUUUCUUCUGCUAUCCAUAAAUUUAUGGAAUGGAAAGGCAAUGAUCAUGACACUAUUUUUUGUCAGAUAAA